Non-coding RNA from Paramuricea clavata, 1055 nucleotides. The record is from the annotation of a GenBank genome assembly. Lineage: Eukaryota; Metazoa; Cnidaria; Anthozoa; Malacalcyonacea; Plexauridae.
CGCCCCUUGUGGAAAUCAGCCUAGGUUGACAAUGGUUAGCGUGUUUAAAUAAAAGUUUCUAUCUAUCUAUCUAUCUAUCUAAGAUUUUAAUUCCCCCUCCAUCAGGGUGAAGGGUUAGACGUGUUAGACGGGUUAGAAGCCUCAGUUUAGGAGGAAUUAUAGAGUAGAGGGUGGGUUAAAUGUGCACUUGGCGCCACAUGGCUGACUACCUCAAAACAUUACCAUUCACGGAUCGUACACCCAAAGAUCUUCAGAAUGAUCUUGUUGAGGUGGCACGUGAAAAUAUUGCCACGUUGUAUGGUAAUACCGCGCACUUGAUUGCGACGUCUUCAAUCAAUGAACUGCUUAAGCCACAUGUUACUCGUUGAAAUCCAUUGCAUGAUAUCAUCCUAUUCAAAACAAAGGCAAAUUGCGCUCCAGAUGCUGAGACUGUCUUUCGAUUAUACGAUGAAUGCGAAGGCGGAGUAUCGAUGAAAUGCCAACGCACUAUAAACUCUGGCGUCGAGAGUCUUAGGUUUGCACGCGGGGCAAUCGCUGAAGCUAGUCGUGUAUUUUUUACAUGCCCAAAAACGAAAUGGGGCAGCUGGUGGUGGAAAAAGACGAGAUUGGCUGCCUUUUGCUGAACGUCUAUGUGCAGAAAGAGGGCAAUGAAAACCUCCGUUUACUGCAGGAAAUCGUAGCUGAAGCGGGACAUACAUUACCAGUUUUGGGCGAAGGGCUGGAUGAAGCUAUAUCCCAUGGUGAAAGCAAAGCGUUUGGAAGUUGGUCUUUUCGAGUUGCCGAAUGAAACGAGAAAAUUUCCUUUCAGGCCUUGUGUGAGACGACAGCAAGUUUCAGCGCCAACAAAUAUCCAGCACACGACAGAAGGAAAUGUUAAAAUGUUCCGAGUUGGUGGCGACAACUUAGGCGUAGAAGCAAUAAACUUCUUAGAAUUUCGGAGGGUCUUUGAUGAGAGUCCCUUUGAGAACUUGUAACAACAACUGCGCCCACGGUUCCACUUUUAUGCAGUGUUACGUUUUGACCGUUCCCAUCUUUCCUUUAUGCUGCCAUUGCUG